CGGACGGGUGAGUAACGCGUGGAUAACCUGCCUCACACUGGGGGAUAACAGUUAGAAAUGGCUGCUAAUACCGCAUAAGCGCACAGUACCGCAUGGUACGGUGUGAAAAACCCAGGUGGCGUGAGAUGGAUCCGCGUCUGAUUAGCCAGUUGGCGGGGUAACGGCCCACCAAAGCGACGAUCAGUAGCCGACCUGAGAGGGUGACCGGCCACAUUGGGACUGAGACACGGCCCAA
RNAcentral lists this ribosomal RNA (235 nucleotides) under uncultured bacterium. RNAcentral describes it as "partial 16S ribosomal RNA". It matches the Rfam family "Bacterial small subunit ribosomal RNA", at positions 99 to 334 of the family's 1533-position model. The record is from RNAcentral.